This is a long non-coding RNA of Hippopotamus amphibius kiboko, 90 nucleotides long. RefSeq lists it as uncharacterized. The transcript is spliced from 3 exons. NCBI's taxonomy places the organism in Eukaryota, Metazoa, Chordata, Mammalia, Artiodactyla, Hippopotamidae. The record is from RefSeq and is a predicted model, not a curated record.
GGAUUAUAUAAGAGCUAAGAUGUGGCAGAAACUGAUGGCAACAAAAAACAUAUUUUCAUUCUCUUGGACAAUACUCAGGAGUGGAAUUGA